CCCGGAAGGGGAGUGAAAUAGAACCUGAAACCGUGUGCUUACAAGUAGUCAGAGCCCGUUAAUGGGUGAUGGCGUGCCUUUUGUAGAAUGAACCGGCGAGUUACGAUUUGAUGCAAGGUUAAGCAGUAAAUGUGGAGCCGUAGCGAAAGCGAGUCUGAAUAGGGCGUUUAGUAUUUGGUCGUAGACCCGAAACCAGGUGAUCUACCCUUGGUCAGGUUGAAGUUCAGGUAACACUGAAUGGAGGACCGAACCGACUUACGUUGAAAAGUGAGCGGAUGAACUGAGGGUAGCGGAGAAAUUCCAAUCGAACCUGGAGAUAGCUGGUUCUCUCCGAAAUAGCUUUAGGGCUAGCCUCAAGUGAUGAUUAUUGGAGGUAGAGCACUGUUUGGACGAGGGGCCCCUCUCGGGUUACCGAAUUCAGACAAACUCCGAAUGCCAAUUAAUUUAACUUGGGAGUCAGAACAUGGGUGAUAAGGUCCGUGUUCGAAAGGGAAACAGCCCAGACCACCAGCUAAGGUCCCAAAAUAUAUGUUAAGUGGAAAAGGAUGUGGCGUUGCCCAGACAACUAGGAUGUUGGCUUAGAAGCAGCCAUCAUUUAAAGAGUGCGUAAUAGCUCACUAGUCGAGUGACACUGCGCCGAAAAUGUACCGGGGCUAAACAUAUUACCGAAGCUGUGGAUUGUCCUUUGGACAAUGGUAGGAGAGCGUUCUAAGGGCGUUGAAGCAUGAUCGUAAGGACAUGUGGAGCGCUUAGAAGUGAGAAUGCCGGUGUGAGUAGCGAAAGACGGGUGAGAAUCCCGUCCACCGAUUGACUAAGGUUUCCAGAGGAAGGCUCGUCCGCUCUGGGUUAGUCGGGUCCUAAGCUGAGGCCGACAGGCGUAGGCGAUGGAUAACAGGUUGAUAUUCCUGUACCACCUAUAAUCGUUUUAAUCGAUGGGGGGACGCAGUAGGAUAGGCGAAGCGUGCGAUUGGAUUGCACGUCUAAGCAGUAAGGCUGAGUAUUAGGCAAAUCCGGUACUCGUUAAGGCUGAGCUGUGAUGGGGAGAAGACAUUGUGUCUUCGAGUCGUUGAUUUCACACUGCCGAGAAAAGCCUCUAGAUAGAAAAUAGGUGCCCGUACCGCAAACCGACACAGGUAGUCAAGAUGAGAAUUCUAAGGUGAGCGAGCGAACUCUCGUUAAGGAACUCGGCAAAAUGACCCCGUAACUUCGGGAGAAGGGGUGCUCUUUAGGGUUAACGCCCAGAAGAGCCGCAGUGAAUAGGCCCAAGCGACUGUUUAUCAAAAACACAGGUCUCUGCUAAACCGUAAGGUGAUGUAUAGGGGCUGACGCCUGCCCGGUGCUGGAAGGUUAAGAGGAGUGGUUAGCUUCUGCGAAGCUACGAAUCGAAGCCCCAGUAAACGGCGGCCGUAACUAUAACGGUCCUAAGGUAGCGAAAUUCCUUGUCGGGUAAGUUCCGACCCGCACGAAAGGCGUAACGAUUUGGGCACUGUCUCAACGAGAGACUCGGUGAAAUCAUAGUACCUGUGAAGAUGCAGGUUACCCGCGACAGGACGGAAAGACCCCGUGGAGCUUUACUGUAGCCUGAUAUUGAAAUUCGGCACAGCUUGUACAGGAUAGGUAGGAGCCUUUGAAACGUGAGCGCUAGCUUACGUGGAGGCGCUGGUGGGAUACUACCCUAGCUGUGUUGGCUUUCUAACCCGCACCACUUAUCGUGGUGGGAGACAGUGUCAGGCGGGCAGUUUGACUGGGGCGGUCGCCUCCUAAAAGGUAACGGAGGCGCUCAAAGGUUCCCUCAGAAUGGUUGGAAAUCAUUCAUAGAGUGUAAAGGCAUAAGGGAGCUUGACUGCGAGACCUACAAGUCGAGCAGGGUCGAAAGACGGACUUAGUGAUCCGGUGGUUCCGCAUGGAAGGGCCAUCGCUCAACGGAUAAAAGCUACCCCGGGGAUAACAGGCUUAUCUCCCCCAAGAGUUCACAUCGACGGGGAGGUUUGGCACCUCGAUGUCGGCUCAUCGCAUCCUGGGGCUGUAGUCGGUCCCAAGGGUUGGGCUGUUCGCCCAUUAAAGCGGUACGCGAGCUGGGUUCAGAACGUCGUGAGACAGUUCGGUCCCUAUCCGUCGUGGGCGUAGGAAAUUUGAGAGGAGCUGUCCUUAGUACGAGAGGACCGGGAUGGACAUACCUCUGGUGUACCAGUUGUCGUGCCAACGGCAUAGCUGGGUAGCUAUGUGUGGACGGGAUAAGUGCUGAAAGCAUCUAAGCAUGAAGCCCCCCUCAAGAUGAGAUUUCCCAACUUCGGUUAUAAGAUCCCUCAAAGAUGAUGAGGUUAAUAGGUUCGAGGUGGAAGCAUGGUGACAUGUGGAGCUGACGAAUACUAA
This 2373-nucleotide ribosomal RNA is filed under the name Staphylococcus aureus. Its description in RNAcentral is "partial 23S ribosomal RNA". It matches the Rfam family "Bacterial large subunit ribosomal RNA", at positions 525 to 2904 of the family's 2925-position model. The record is from RNAcentral. Lineage: Bacteria; Bacillati; Bacillota; Bacilli; Caryophanales; Staphylococcaceae.